RNAcentral lists this long non-coding RNA (384 nucleotides) under Salmo salar (Atlantic salmon). Its description in RNAcentral is "lncRNA (ENSSSAG00000113454.1)". Lineage: Eukaryota; Metazoa; Chordata; Actinopteri; Salmoniformes; Salmonidae. The record is from RNAcentral.
GUUUUGUCAUAGGGCUAUAAUUCUACAAAUGAAAGAACCAUAAGCUACCAUUAUGGACUCGUUUUGUCUGCCAUCGCUGUCAUAUUCUUCAAUUUGAUGGCAGGAGCCGAACCCACAAAUAGAGCAGAAAACGGUUCAAGAUAAAAACUAAUCAUCCAGCAGCUUUGGAUAACCAACUCAUCACACGCUCGAGCUGUGGUUAUGCAGCUAGCUAUAUCUUGUUUCCAGACCUGAGCCCUAGGACCAUGCCUCAGGACUACCUGGUAUGAUGACUCCUUGCUGUCCCCAGUCCACCUGGCCGUGCUGCUGCUCCAGUUUCAACUGUUCUGCCUGCGGCUAUGGAACCCUGACCUGUUCACCGGACGUGCUUGUUGCACCCUCGAC